CACAUGCAAGUCGAGCGGCAGCGGAAAGUACCUGGCUACUUUGCCGGAGAGCGGCGGACGGGUGAGUAGUGUCUGGGAAAGUGCCUGAUGGAGGGGGAUAACUACUGGAAACGGUAUCUAAUACCGCAUAACGUCGCAAGACCAAAGAGGGGGACCUUCGGGCCUCUUGCCCUCAUAUGUGCCCAGAUGGGAUUAUCUAGUAGGUGGGGUAACGGCUCCCCUAGGCGACUAUCCCUAUCUGGUCUGAGAGGAUGACCACCCACUCUGGAACUGACACACGGUCCAGACUCCUACGGGAGGCAGCAGUGGGGAAUAUUGCACAGUGGGCGCACGCCUGAUGCACCCGUGCCGCGUGUAUGAAAAAGGCCUUCGGGUUGUAAAGUACUUUCCGCGGGGAAGAGGGUGUUGAGGUUAAUAACCUCAGCUUUUGACUUUACCCGCAAAAAAAGCCCCGGCUAACUCCGUGCCAACACCCGCGGUAAUACAGAGGGUGCAAGCGUUAAUCGGAAUUACUGGGCGUAAAGCGCACGCAGGCGGUCUGUCAAGUCAGAUGUGAAAUCCCCGGGCUCAACCUGGGAACUGCAUUCAAAACUGGCGCGCUAGACUCUUGUAGAGGGGGGUAGAAUUCCGUGUGUAGCGGUGAUGUGCGUAGAUAUCUG
This 659-nucleotide ribosomal RNA is filed under the name Enterobacter sp. M.negtv.2.2. RNAcentral's name for it is "bacterial SSU rRNA". It matches the Rfam family "Bacterial small subunit ribosomal RNA", at positions 52 to 700 of the family's 1533-position model. Lineage: Bacteria; Pseudomonadati; Pseudomonadota; Gammaproteobacteria; Enterobacterales; Enterobacteriaceae. The record is from RNAcentral.